AGUGAACGCUGGCGGUAUGCCUAACACAUGCAAGUCGAACGGCAGCACAGUAAGAUCUUGCUCUUACUGGUGGCGAGUGGCGGACGGGUGAGGAAUACAUCGGAAUCUACUUUUUCUUGGGGGAUAACGUAGGGAAACUUACGCUAAUACCGCAUACUACCUACGGCUUAAAGCAGAGGAGCUUCGGACCUUUCGCGAUUGAUUGAGCCGGUGUCGGAUUAGCUAGUUGGGGGGGUAAAGGCCCACCAAGGCAACGAUCCGUAGCUGGUCUGAGAGGAUGAUCAGCCACACUGGAACUGAGACACGGUCCAGACUCCUACGGGAGGCAGCAGUGGGGAAUAUUGGACAAUGGGCGCAAGCCUGAUCCAGCCAUACCGCGUGGGUGAAGAAGGCCUUCGGGUUGUAAAGCCCUUUUGUUGGGAAAGAAAAGCAGCAGGUGAAUACCCCGAUGUUCUGACGGUACCCAAAGAAUAAGCACCGGCUAACUUCGUG
RNAcentral lists this ribosomal RNA (492 nucleotides) under uncultured bacterium. RNAcentral's name for it is "partial 16S ribosomal RNA". It matches the Rfam family "Bacterial small subunit ribosomal RNA", at positions 29 to 507 of the family's 1533-position model. The record is from RNAcentral.